GGGGGGCUGCUGGGACACGGAGAAACCAUGAAGUAGAACCGUUGGUCUCCUGCGCUUGAGAGAGCUUGGAGUUACUGGUGUUUCGUUUAUCUUGAGCCAGAGGUUCGAGACCCCGGCCGGCCCUGGAGACGUGGGGCAAUCUAACUACAGUAAUGUGGAGCAAGCACUGGCUUUACCUUUUCUCAGAAUCUCAUGGCUGGAGUAUGCAACCCUGUCUUUUCCUGCUGAUCCUCCAUGUACAUUCCCAGCACCAGGAGCCCACCCAGUGUUCCUCAGACUCUGGGAGGUUCUGCCUGACUUCCCCAGGACCCAGCCUUCUCCUUAUUUGUGAUUCCCAAGGAGCUUUGGAAAGACCUUCUGGAAGCCCAGAGGAGGCAGGCUUCACAGACCAGUUCCUCUUCAUCCUCUUCCUCACCUGGCCUGAAAGUGAACACUGGACCUGACUAACGGCAAGGGAACUUUCUGAGGAUCUGCUCUGCUGACUCCUUACCUGUCCUUACUCCUUACCUUACCUAGCCCCAGGCUAGACUUCCCCGCCUCAGCUCCUACUUUCCUCUUCCUUCCAUCCUUCAGGCUCUGCUCCUUCCUAGCUCCACCUGUGAUCAAUUUCUCCUGUCUGGACGCUGGUGGCCAAGUCACUUCCCCUCUCUUUGUUCUUUUCCAGUUUGGAAAAUAGGGGUAUUCGCUGAACCUGUAUCCUGCUAUCAUGGAUGUAAAAAUGAAUGCCCUAAGGUUGACAGUGUUACUAGCUGAAUAUAUGGUAAAGUGUUAUCCACUCAAUAAACAUAACACCUUUCUAGACUUCUUUC
This is a long non-coding RNA of Mustela lutreola (European mink), 809 nucleotides long. RefSeq lists it as uncharacterized. Lineage: Eukaryota; Metazoa; Chordata; Mammalia; Carnivora; Mustelidae. The transcript has 3 exons. The record is from RefSeq and is a predicted model, not a curated record.